RNAcentral lists this long non-coding RNA (206 nucleotides) under Musa acuminata (dwarf banana). RNAcentral's name for it is "long non-coding RNA (MACU_LNC004757)". Lineage: Eukaryota; Viridiplantae; Streptophyta; Magnoliopsida; Zingiberales; Musaceae. The record is from RNAcentral.
AAAAAUUAAAUAAGGAAAUUUUAUGAAAAAGCACAUAAAUUUACAUUAUUAUUAUUAUUAUUUUGUUAUGAUUCAGUAGUCAUUAGCCUUCUCGCCAACAAAGAGGAAACUUGAUGGUCACAUGGAAAUCGAAGGUUCCACGCAACUGCAACAAAUAAGUCAUCACUGUAAGAAGCAACCGCCAAUGGCCCCGCCAUCGCCUUCCC